RNAcentral lists this ribosomal RNA (478 nucleotides) under uncultured bacterium. RNAcentral describes it as "bacterial SSU rRNA". It matches the Rfam family "Bacterial small subunit ribosomal RNA", at positions 364 to 833 of the family's 1533-position model. The record is from RNAcentral.
UUUCGCAAUGCCCGAAAGGGUGACGAAGCGACGCCGCGUGUGGGAAGAAGGCCUUCGGGUUGUAAACCACUGUUGGGAGUUAGGAAGUGUGGGGGUGUUAAUAGCGCCUUCACUUGACUAAAGCUCCAGAGGAAGCCACGGCUAACUUCGUGCCAGCAGCCGCGGUAAGACGAAGGUGGCAAGCGUUGCUCGGAAUCACUGGGCAUAAAGCGCGCGUAGGUGGCUUUGCAAGUCGGUGGUGAAAUCCCAUGGCUCAACCGUGGAACGGCCGCCGAUACUGCAGAGCUUGAGGACGGUAGGGGAGAGUGGAACUCCUGGUGUAGCGGUGAAAUGCGUAGAUAUCAGGAGGAACGCCGGUGGCGAAAGCGACUCUCUGGGCCGCUCCUGACACUGAUGUGCGAGAGCUAGGGGAGCAAACAGGAUUAGAUACCCUGGUAGUCCUAGCUGUAAACGAUGGGCACUAAGUAGAGGGGUUUUA